This 253-nucleotide ribosomal RNA is filed under the name uncultured bacterium. Its description in RNAcentral is "partial 16S ribosomal RNA". It matches the Rfam family "Bacterial small subunit ribosomal RNA", at positions 524 to 776 of the family's 1533-position model. The record is from RNAcentral.
UACGUAGGGUGCAAGCGUUAUUCGGAAUUACUGGGCGUAAAGCGUGCGCAGGCGGUUAUGCAAGUCAGAUGUGAAAUCCCCGGGCUCAACCUGGGAACUGCAUUUGUGACUGCAUGGCUAGAGUGCGGCAGAGGGGGAUGGAAUUCCGCGUGUAGCAGUGAAAUGCGUAGAUAUGCGGAGGAACACCGAUGGCGAAGGCAAUCCCCUGGGCCUGCACUGACGCUCAUGCACGAAAGCUAGGGGAGCAAACAGG